This is an RNA transcript of Selaginella moellendorffii, 2835 nucleotides long. It is a transcript of the gene named decapping nuclease DXO homolog, chloroplastic, with no coding region annotated. The transcript is spliced from 3 exons. Lineage: Eukaryota; Viridiplantae; Streptophyta; Lycopodiopsida; Selaginellales; Selaginellaceae. The record is from RefSeq and is a predicted model, not a curated record.
UCCAAUAAAAAAAUAUCAUACCAUGUAGUUAAACAAGUACUGGACGAGAUUAUCCCGCUCGUUGCAAACGGGAUCUAGAUGGAUCGAUCACGCUCGAUCGCCUCGCCUCUUCUGCUCGACCGCGUAGCGAGCAGCCUCAACCGAUCCAAUACAGCGUUCAAGAAGCUCGCGAUUCAAGAUGGAGAAACCUCAAGGCGGUCUAAAUGCUUGGCCCCUCUCGGCAGACCCACAAAUUUUCAGCCAGCGACAGAAAUAAGGGCCACAACAUUUUCUAACCCCCAGCUCCAUUUUCUUGAGAAAUCGUCGCCUCUUCCUGCGUUUGCUGGCACAUUUUUGUGGAACUGAGAACGAGGAGAAGAAACAAUCCUCAAUGCUUGAGAUAUAUUUUUCUUCUCUGGGUUGUGGUGUUUGAUGCGUGCUUAUGCCACUGAUUUAAGCUUGGAUUUUCCAAAGUGCGCCGCUCUCUUGCGCCAGUGCACCGGACUAGCCAGCCUCCGCGAGCUCCACCACAAGAUCGCUGCUGCCAAUUUGGAUGCGCACACGUUUUUGGGCAACCAUCUCGUCCAGAUGUACGGCAAGUGCGGGAAUACGGCGGAGGCGUUUCUCGCUUUCGAGCGCAUACGGAACAAGAAUCGCUUCUCGUGGAACAUCGUUCUCACGGCAUAUGCCCAAAAUGGGCAUAUUCUGGAGUCGAAAUUUCUCUUUGAAAAGAUGCCGCAGAGAGACCUUUACUCUUGGAACUCGAUGAUUGCGGCGCUAGCACAAAACGGAUGUUUGGAAGACGCGUUUGCGCUGGCCGAGAAGAUGCCCGAGAAAGAUACUGUUUCUUGGAACACGAUACUUGCGGCAUAUGCCGAUUCAGGAAGCUUGCCUAUGCUAAAGACGAUGUUUGAUCGAAUGGAGAAGCGCAAUGCCGUCUCCUGGAAUGCAAUCAUCUCUGGAUAUGGCCAAAAUAACAGUGUGGAACUCGCAGGAAAAUGUUUAGCAAAAAUGCCGCAUAGAAAUCUCUUGUCUUGGAAUGCCAUGCUCGCGGCAUAUGCCCAAAAUGGGUAUUCUGCUAUGACAGUAAAGCUCUUUGCGGAAAUGUGCGUCGAGGGAUUUGAACCCGACGCUUUUACCUGCGUGAGCGUAUUGGACGCCUGCGAUCGCUCCUUGGGCGAGGAGAUCCACGACGAGGUGCGAUUCAAUGGCUGGGAUUCCAGCGUCUUUGUUGGUACGGCGCUCGUGGCCAUGUACGGGAGGUGCCAGUGUGUGGACCGUGCAAAGGAGGUCUUUGGUUCGAUGCCCGAGCGCAACAUUGUGUCAUGGAACGCGAUGCUUACCGCAUAUGCCGAUAAUGGGCAUCUGGAAGAUACCAUGGCUGUGUAUGAGCAUAUGCCAGCUAGAGACCUUGCAUCUGGAAAUGGCCUUGUGUCUGGCUAUGCGCGUUUAGGGCAGUGGGAGAGCGCCCGUGCGGCAUUUUGGUCUCUCCCCGAGAGAGAUGUGGUUUCCUGGAACACGAUGAUCGCGGCGUGUGUCGAGAGGGAUCGUCCGCAAGAAUCGUUCGCGCUCUUCCGGCAGAUGGAUCUCGAUGGCGUUGCGCCAAACAGGAUCACGCUUGCGAGCAUCUUGAGCGCCUGCGAUGGAAGCCAGGAAAAUAUUGCGCACGCGCUCAUCGCUGGGCUGCGGGAUCUCGAGCCGGACGCGAUGAUCGGCACGGCGCUGGUGAUCCUGUAUGGCCGGUGCGGCAGCUGCGAGAAAUCCUUGGAAAUCUUCCACCAGAUGGAGGAGCCGCGCGAUCCAGGCGCUUGGAAUUCGAUCAUCGCGGCGCUGGCACGCAAUGGCCACACCGAUGCGGCGAUCGCGAUGCUCCGCCGGUUGGAAUGCGAGGGGAUCGGGCCGGAUUUCGCCGUUUUCAACAGCAUUCUCUUUGCAUGCAGCCAUGGCGGAUCUCUCUGUGAGGGCUACGCGCAUUUUUUGAUCAUGGCUGGGGAUUACGGCAUCGCGGUCAGCUCCAGCCAUUUCAUGUGCCUGAUCGAUCUGCUGGGCCGCGCCGGGAAGCUGGAAGCCGCGGAGGAGCUGAUCGAUUCGAUGCCAUUCGAGGCGGACGGCCUGGCCUGGACGAUUCUCCUCAGCUCUUGCAAGAGCCACAACGAUGUGGAGAGAGGGGCCAUGGCGGCGAUGAGAGUGGCCGAGUUCGAAUCCUGGGAAAGCUCCACUUAUGUGAUGCUCAGUAGCAUCAUGAGGAAUUAGCUAGGGUUCUUGGAUUGGCCCUAGGCCACAGUGAAUGGCGGACUGGGGAGACGACAACGUCCAAGAAGGGGAGGAAGAGGAUGGAUCGGAGGAUUUCGAGCUUCCGGAGGAGGAAGAAGGCGCUGGAUCGCAGCAGAAUCACGGCAGUGACGAGGAGAGGAGCAGCAGCAGUGGCAACGAGGAAGGGAGCAGCAGCGGUGAGGAGAAUCAAGGCGAUGGCGAUGAUCCGGUGGAGAUUCAGGAUGAUCUUUUCGGCCCCGAUAACGAAGAUUAUAUGCGCACUACUCCGCAGAGCCAGCUUCCCAUACCAAUCCUUCCCGAGCCCCGGAAUGACCAAAGGAAUGAUCACGAGUACCGGCGAGGAAAUCCUCGUGGAGAAAGAAAUUCAUCCUUCUACUCUGGCGGUUUCAAGUCGAAGGAUCUCGUUGCUGACCUGAAGCUUGGCCCUCCUGGCCACUUGGACGAGACCUUGCGCAUUGCAUGCCCCCCUUUUCAAGAGUGGAGAAAUUUGGCUUGCAUGGUGGUUCUUUGGAGCAGCCAAAUCAGAUUUGCUGUUACAGUCGAACACCGGAUGGAACCGUUUACUAUGACGAAAGGUGUCUG